AAAUUGAAGAGUUUGAUCAUGGCUCAGAUUGAACGCUGGCGGCAGGCCUAACACAUGCAAGUCGAACGGUAACAGGAAGCAGCUUGCUGCUUCGCUGACGAGUGGCGGACGGGUGAGUAAUGUCUGGGAAACUGCCUGAUGGAGGGGGAUAACUACUGGAAACGGUGGCUAAUACCGCAUAACGUCGCAAGACCAAAGAGGGGGACCUUCGGGCCUCUUGCCAUCAGAUGUGCCCAGAUGGGAUUAGCUUGUUGGUGGGGUAACGGCCCACCAAGGCGACGAUCCCUAGCUGGUCUGAGAGGAUG
RNAcentral lists this ribosomal RNA (305 nucleotides) under Salmonella enterica. Its description in RNAcentral is "partial 16S ribosomal RNA". It matches the Rfam family "Bacterial small subunit ribosomal RNA", at positions 1 to 302 of the family's 1533-position model. Lineage: Bacteria; Pseudomonadati; Pseudomonadota; Gammaproteobacteria; Enterobacterales; Enterobacteriaceae. The record is from RNAcentral. RNAcentral also lists the same sequence under 1 other name.